CCUGAGAAACCCAAAAGAUCGAAUGGGGAGAUUCAUCGUCAGCUCAUUUUGUAUAUGUAUAAGUUAUGAUGCGGGUUACUACUUGUAGUAUUGCCUGCACAUUCUUGUAUAUUUAGUUGCAAGGUGUUGUCGGCGUGCACUUCUCCCCUAGUAGGACGUCGCGACCUGUUGGGUGUCGGUCUACGGCCCAAGUGAUAGACUUUAAUGUAAUUUAAAAAACAUUGAAGAUCCUUGGUGUUUUCUGACCGGCUACUUGGCAGUAUUCGUACGGUAUUUAGCCGCUAAAUUUAUUAAGCGUCCAUAUCUAUCACAAGCGAGGCUAAUUUACUGAUAGUACGGACGUAGUGCCGUCGUUGGUAUUGGCCAGCUGUUGGUUGAUGGUAUUCUAGGACUGGCUAAAAUUAAUUACCGGUCGGCGAUGCUACUGCUUUGGGUACUUUCAG
RNAcentral lists this ribosomal RNA (443 nucleotides) under Aleiodes biscutus. RNAcentral's name for it is "LSU rRNA". Lineage: Eukaryota; Metazoa; Arthropoda; Insecta; Hymenoptera; Braconidae. The record is from RNAcentral.